GAACGCACAUUGCGCCUCCUUGGAGGCAUGCCUGUCUGAGUCUCAUGAACACCUCAACUCUCAUGGCUUGCCAUGAUGAGCUUGGACUUUGGGGGUCUUGUCGGCCUGCGGUCGGCUCCUCUCAAAUGGAUCAGCUUGCCAGUGUUUGGUGGCGUCACAGGUGUGAUAACUAUCUGCGCUUGUGGUUUCCCAUCAGAUAACCUUCAGCGAUGGAGGUUCGCUGGGGCUCAUAAAUGUCUCUCCUAAGUGAGGACAGCCCUUUGAACGUUUGAUCUCAAAUCAGGUAGGACUACCCGCUGAACUUAAG
RNAcentral lists this unclassified non-coding RNA (307 nucleotides) under uncultured Thelephoraceae. RNAcentral's name for it is "sequence contains 5.8S rRNA gene". The record is from RNAcentral. Lineage: Eukaryota; Fungi; Basidiomycota; Agaricomycetes; Thelephorales; Thelephoraceae.